This 465-nucleotide ribosomal RNA is filed under the name uncultured bacterium. Its description in RNAcentral is "partial 16S ribosomal RNA". It matches the Rfam family "Bacterial small subunit ribosomal RNA", at positions 28 to 507 of the family's 1533-position model. The record is from RNAcentral.
GACGAACGCUGGCGGCGUGCCUAACACAUGCAAGUCGAACGGAAAGGCCCUGCUUGCAGUGUACUCGAGUGGCCAACGGGUGAGUAACUCGUGGGUGAUCUGCCCUGCACUUCGGGUUAAGCCUGGUAAACUGGGUCUAAUACCUGAUAGGAGCCAUUUUUAGUGUGAUGGUUGGAAAGUUUUUUGCGUGUUGGAUGAGCUCGCGGGCUAUCAGCUUGCUGGUGUGGUUAUGGCCUACCAAGGCGGCGACGGGUAGCCGGCCUGAGGGGGUGGACGGCGACAUUGAGACUGAGAGACGGCACAGACUCCGACGGGAGGGAGCAGUGGGGAAGAUUGAACAAGGGGCGCAAGCCUGAUGAAGCGAGGCUGCGUGGGGGAUGACGGCCUUCGGGUUGUAAAAUACUUGCGCUAGGGACGAAGCUUUUUGUGACGGUACCUAGAGAAGAAGCACCGGCUAACUACGUG